RNAcentral lists this unclassified non-coding RNA (1394 nucleotides) under uncultured fungus. RNAcentral describes it as "sequence contains 18S rRNA gene, ITS1, 5.8S rRNA gene, ITS2, 28S rRNA gene". Lineage: Eukaryota; Fungi. The record is from RNAcentral.
CGGCAGCGGUCCCUAUCGAUAUGCAUUCGGAGGCGACGGCACGGGCCUGGGCAUCAAUCUGAAUGAACCCGAGCAAUUCUUAAUACUCCUCGAAUCACUGGGCAUCGAACUCAUAUGCACGUCAGCGGGCAGCCCCUAUUACAACCCGCACAUGAUGCGGCCUGCCGCCUUUCCGCCUUCGGACGGCUACCAACCCCCCGAAGAUCCGCUCGUCGGCUGCGCCCGCCAGAUCAAUACGACGGCGCGCCUGAAGGCCAAUCAUCCCAAAUUGCUGUUCGUUGGCAGCGGUUACACUUAUCUGCAAGAAUGGCUGCCGCACGUCGGUCAGCGCAUGGUUCGCGACGGACAUGUCGAUUGCGUAGGUCUCGGACGGAUGGUGCUCGCCUAUCCGGACCUUCCCGCCGAUGUAUUGGCGGGAAAGCAGCUGGAGCGCAAACGUUUCUGCCGCACUUUUAGCGAUUGCACGACGGCCCCGCGUAACGGCAUUGUCUCGGGCUGCUAUCCACUCGACCCGUUCUACAAGGCAAUGCCGGAACGCAUCGAAUUGGAAGCGAUCAAGAAGAAGUAGAACAAGUUGGCAACUUGUUGUACUUGCGCGGUGCGUAGCGCCACAUCAGCGCUCCAAGAAUCAGCGAUCCUCCAAUCCACGUUGCGGUCGUUGGCGUGUCUGUCUCCGGCGAAAUCAAAUAGGUCCACAGGGGAUUGAGCAGCGGUUCGAGCAGGACGAUCAUGCCUGCUUCCUGGGGGCUCACAUGCUUCAGUCCGCGAGCAAACAGCGCAUAGGGCAGCGCCAUUUGUACGGCUCCGAAGAACGCCAGAAACACCAUCUGCCGUGCGCUGGGUGUACAGGCCCAGUCCCACCAGAAAGCUGGCCCGUGGAUUAUCAGGAUGGCCAAGCCUAGACACAGAGCGGUGCCGAGGUGAUUCUGGGUGGUGAGCCACAUCGACGAAUGCCCCUUCAAUUCUCGCAGGCACAGGAUCACGCCUCCGUACAUCAUGCUGCUGCCGAUCGCCAUCGCGGUAAUCGCGACUUGAUCGCCGCCUAACCCCUGCCCCGCGAUGCCGUGUCCGACAAUGACGCCGACGCCCGCCAUGCCGAUAAUAAGCGAUUGCAAUGUGCGCCGAUCGUGCGGUUCGCCCAGUAUGUAGACGCACACAAGAUACACCCACAAAGGCGCCGUGUUUUGCAGCAGGAUCGCAUUCGCUGCCGGGCCGAGCACCAUGGCCGAGACGAACAGCGCAUUCAUGGCGGCGAAGAAGGCGACCAUCAGCAACAUGACCGGGCGGAAAGUGAGGUCGCGCGGCCGCAACAGAGGCAGGAACACGAGGCCCGCGAAAAAAGCUCGAUAAAAGGCGAUCUGAAGGGACGACAGGACCGGCGUAUGUAAGCCGAG